RNAcentral lists this transfer RNA (71 nucleotides) under Chioglossa lusitanica. RNAcentral describes it as "tRNA-Thr". It matches the Rfam family "tRNA". From Rfam's summary of the family: Transfer RNA (tRNA) molecules are approximately 80 nucleotides in length. Their secondary structure includes four short double-helical elements and three loops (D, anti-codon, and T loops). The record is from RNAcentral. Lineage: Eukaryota; Metazoa; Chordata; Amphibia; Caudata; Salamandridae.
UAUCUUAGUAGUUUAGAAAAACAUCGGUCUUGUAAACCGAAGACCGAAGACUACACUUCUUCCUUAGAUAA